CCUACGGGCGGCAGCAGUGAGGAAUAUUGGUCAAUGGACGAGAGUCUGAACCAGCCAAGUAGCGUGCAGGAUGACUGCCCUAUGGGUUGUAACCUUCUUUUAUAUGGGAAUAAAACGUUCCACGUGUGGGAUUUUGUAUGUACCAUAUGAAUAAGGCUCGGCUAACUCCGUGCCAGCAGCCGCGGUACUAAGGAGGAUCCGAGCGUUCCCCGGAUGUGUUGGGUUUAACGGGAGCGUAGGUGGGUUGUUAAGUCAGUUGUGAAAGUUUGCGGCUCAACCGUAAAAUUGCAGUUGAAACUGGCAGUCUUGAGUACAGUAGAGGUAGGCGGAAUUCGUGGUGUAGCGGUGAAAUGCUUAGAUAUCACGAAGAACUCCGAUUGCGAAGGCAGUUCACUGGACUGCAACUGACACUGAGGCUCGAAAGUGUGGGUAUCAAACAGGAUUAGAUACCCUGGUAGUC
This 460-nucleotide ribosomal RNA is filed under the name uncultured bacterium. RNAcentral describes it as "partial 16S ribosomal RNA". It matches the Rfam family "Bacterial small subunit ribosomal RNA", at positions 338 to 795 of the family's 1533-position model. The record is from RNAcentral.